This is a non-coding RNA of Triticum aestivum (bread wheat), 123 nucleotides long. The record is from Rfam. NCBI's taxonomy places the organism in Eukaryota, Viridiplantae, Streptophyta, Magnoliopsida, Poales, Poaceae.
CAGGUACUCCCUCCGUUCGGAAUUACUUGUCUCGGAAAUGGAUGUAUGUAAAACUAAAAUACGUCUAGAUACAUCCAUUUUCACGACAAGUCGACAAGUAAUUCCAAACGGAGGAAGUACAUC